RNAcentral lists this ribosomal RNA (516 nucleotides) under uncultured Glomus. Its description in RNAcentral is "SSU rRNA". It matches the Rfam family "Eukaryotic small subunit ribosomal RNA", at positions 569 to 1089 of the family's 1831-position model. Lineage: Eukaryota; Fungi; Glomeromycota; Glomeromycetes; Glomerales; Glomeraceae. The record is from RNAcentral.
AGCAGCCGCGGUAAUUCCAGCUCCAAUAGCGUAUAUUAAAGUUGUUGCAGUUAAAAAGCUCGUAGUUGAAUUUCGGGGUUAGUAGGUUGGUCAUGCCUCUGGUAUGUACUGGUCUCACUGAUUCCUACCUUCUGACGAACCAUCAUGUCAUUAAUUUGGUGUGGCGGGGAAUCAGGACUGUUACUUUGAAAAAAUUAGAGUGUUUAAAGCAGGCUCGCGCUUGAAUACAUUAGCAUGGAAUAAUGAAAUAGGACGUUGACCCUAUUUUGUUGGUUUCUAGGAUUGACGUAAUGAUUAAUAGGGAUAGUUGGGGGCAUUAGUAUUCAAUUGUCAGAGGUGAAAUUCUUGGAUUUAUUGAAGACUAACUACUGCGAAAGCAUUUGCCAAGGAUGUUUUCAUUAAUCAAGAACGAAAGUUAGGGGAUCGAAGACGAUCAGAUACCGUCGUAGUCUUAACCAUAAACUAUGCCGACUAGGGAUCGGAUGAUGUUAUUUUUAAUGACUCAUUCGGCGUCCG